This is a non-coding RNA of Podarcis lilfordi (Lilford's wall lizard), 740 nucleotides long. The record is from the annotation of a GenBank genome assembly. NCBI's taxonomy places the organism in Eukaryota, Metazoa, Chordata, Lepidosauria, Squamata, Lacertidae.
GGCUGAUUUCCUUCAGAAUGGAUAGGUUUGAUCUUCUUGCAGUCCAUGGGACUCUCAAGAGUCUCCUCCAGCACCAUAAUUCAAAAGCAUCAAUCCUUCGGCGAUCAGCCUUCUUUAUGGUCCAGCUCUCACUUCCAUACAUCACUACUGGGAAAACCAUAGCUUUUACUAUACGGACCUUUGUUGGCAAGGUGAUGUCUCUACUUUUUAAGAUGCUGUCUAGGUUUGUCAUUGCUUUCCUCCCAAGAAGCAGGCGUCUCUUAAUUUCGUGGCUGCUGUCACCAUCUGCAGUGAUCAUGGAGCCCAAGAAAGUAAAAUCUCUCACUGCCUCCAUUUCUUCCCCUUCUAUUUGCCAGGAGGCGAUGGGACCAGUGGCCAUGAUCUUCGUUUUUUUGAUGUUGAGCUUCAGACCAUAUUUUGCACUCUCCUCUUUCACCCUCAAUAAAAGGUUCUUUAAUUCCUCCUCACUUUCUGCCAUCAAGGUUGUGUCAUCUGCAUAUCUGAGGUUGUUGAUAUUUCUUCUAGCAAUCUUAAUUCCGGUUUGGGAUUCAUCCAGCCCAGCCUUUCGCAUGAUGAAUUCUGCAUAUAAGUUAAAUAAACAGGGAGACAAAAUACAGCCUUGUCGUACUCCUUUCCCAAUUUUGAACCAAUCAGUUGUUCCAUAUCCAGUUCUAACUGUAGCUUCUUGUCCCACAUAGAGAUUUCUCAGGAGACAGAUGAGGUGAUCAGGCACUCCCAUU